Molecule: ribosomal RNA, 253 nt
Filed under: uncultured bacterium
Lineage: Bacteria
Description: partial 16S ribosomal RNA
Rfam family: Bacterial small subunit ribosomal RNA
Source: RNAcentral
GACGGAGGAGGCAAGCGUUAUCCGGAAUUAUUGGGCGUAAAGGGUACGUAGGCGGCUGGUCAAGUCUGGGGUCAAAGGCCACAGCUCAACUGUGGGAAGGCCCUGGAAACUGACCGGCUAGAGUGAGGUAGGGGUUGCGGGAAUUCCCGGUGUAGCGGUGAAAUGCGUAGAGAUCGGGAAGAACACCUGAGGCGGAAGCGACCAACGGGGCCUCAAUUGACGUUGAGGUACGAAAGCUAGGGGAGCGAAUGGG